This 398-nucleotide ribosomal RNA is filed under the name uncultured bacterium. RNAcentral's name for it is "partial 16S ribosomal RNA". It matches the Rfam family "Bacterial small subunit ribosomal RNA", at positions 360 to 775 of the family's 1533-position model. The record is from RNAcentral.
AAUAUUGCACAAUGGGGGAAACCCUGAUGCAGCGACGCCGCGUGAGUGAAGAAGUAUUNCGGUACNUNAAGCUCUAUCAGCAGGGNGGAUAAUGACGGUACCUGACUAAGAAGCCCCGGCUUACUACGUUCCAGCAGCCGCGGUAAUACGUAGGGGGCAAGCGUUAUCCGGAUUUACUGAGUGUAAAGGGAGCGUAGACGGUGAUGUAAGUCAGAUGUGCAAGCCCAGGGCUCGACCCUGGGACUGCAUUUGAAACUAUGUUGCUAGAGUGCAGGAGAGGUAAGUCGGAUUCCUAGUGUAGCGGUGAAAUGCGUAGAUAUUAGGAGGAACACCCGUGGCGAAGGCGGCUUACUGGACUGUAACUGACGUUGAGGCUCGAAAGCGUGGGGAGCAAACAG